UACGUAGGGGGCAAGCGUUAUCCGGAUUCAUUGGGCGUAAAGCGCGCGUAGGCGGCUUGUUAAGCGAGAUGUGAAAACCGGGGGCUCAACCCGCGGCCUGCAUCUCGAACUGGCAGGCUUGAGUCUGGUAGAGGAAAGUGGAAUUCCUGGUGUAGCGGUGAAAUGCGCAGAUAUCAGGAGGAACACCAGUGGCGAAGGCGGCUUUCUGGGCCACGACUGACGCUGAGGCGCGAAAGCUAGGGGAGCAAACAGG
RNAcentral lists this ribosomal RNA (253 nucleotides) under uncultured bacterium. RNAcentral's name for it is "partial 16S ribosomal RNA". It matches the Rfam family "Bacterial small subunit ribosomal RNA", at positions 524 to 776 of the family's 1533-position model. The record is from RNAcentral.